GACGAACGCUGGCGGCGUGCCUAAUACAUGCAAGUCGAGCGAAGUUUUUCUGGUGCUUGCACUAGAAAAACUUAGCGGCGAACGGGUGAGUAACACGUAAAGAACCUGCCUCAUAGACUGGGACAACUAUUGGAAACGAUAGCUAAUACCGGAUAACAGUAUUUCUCGCAUGAGAGAUAUUUAAAAGUUGGUUAUGCUAACACUAUGAGAUGGCUUUGCGGUGCAUUAGCUAGUUGGUGGGGUAAAGGCCCACCAAGGCGACGAUGCAUAGCCGACCUGAGAGGGUGAUCGGCCACACUGAGACUGAGACACGGCCCAGACUCCUACGGGAGGCAGCAGUAGGGAAUCUUCCGCAAUGGGCGAAAGCCUGACGGAGCAACGCCGCGUGAGUGAAGAAGGAUUUCGGUUCGUAAAGCUCUGUUGUUAGGGAAGAAUGGAUAUGUAGUAACUAUACAUGUAAGAGACGGUACCUAACCAGAAAGCCACGGCUAACUACGUG
RNAcentral lists this ribosomal RNA (499 nucleotides) under uncultured bacterium. RNAcentral's name for it is "partial 16S ribosomal RNA". It matches the Rfam family "Bacterial small subunit ribosomal RNA", at positions 28 to 507 of the family's 1533-position model. The record is from RNAcentral.